RNAcentral lists this transfer RNA (76 nucleotides) under Podarcis lilfordi (Lilford's wall lizard). RNAcentral's name for it is "tRNA.Ile". Lineage: Eukaryota; Metazoa; Chordata; Lepidosauria; Squamata; Lacertidae. The record is from RNAcentral.
GCAUAGCUCAGUUGGUUAGAGUGUGGUGCUGAUAAUGCCAAGGCUGCAGGUUCGAUUCCCAGAUGGGACAGCUGCA